GAUGAACGCUAGCGACAGGCCUAACACAUGCAAGUCGAGGGGCAGCAUAAAAGUAGCAAUACUUUGGUGGCGACCGGCGCACGGGUGAGUAACACGUAUGCAACCUGCCUGUAAGCGGGGAAUAACCCGGAGAAAUCCGGACUAAUACCGCAUAAUACCAUUUUUCUGCAUGGAAAGAUGGUUAAACAUUUAUGGCUUACAGAUGGACAUGCGUAUGAUUAGCUAGUUGGUGAGGUAACGGCUCACCAAGGCAACGAUCAUUAGGGGUUCUGAGAGGAAGGUCCCCCACACUGGUACUGAGACACGGACCAGACUCCUACGGGAGGCAG
Molecule: ribosomal RNA, 329 nt
Filed under: uncultured Bacteroidota bacterium
Lineage: Bacteria; Pseudomonadati; Bacteroidota
Description: bacterial SSU rRNA
Rfam family: Bacterial small subunit ribosomal RNA
Source: RNAcentral